RNAcentral lists this ribosomal RNA (804 nucleotides) under Gimnomera cuneiventris. RNAcentral describes it as "eukaryotic LSU rRNA". It matches the Rfam family "Eukaryotic large subunit ribosomal RNA", at positions 122 to 782 of the family's 3401-position model. Lineage: Eukaryota; Metazoa; Arthropoda; Insecta; Diptera; Scathophagidae. The record is from RNAcentral.
UGUCUUUAUGGCAAAUGUGAGAUGCAGUGUAUGGAAUGUCAAAUUUCUAGUAUGAGAAAUUAACGAUUUAAGUCCUUCUUAAAUGAGGCCAUUUACCCAAAGAGGGUGCCAGGCCCGUAUAACGUUAAUGAUUACUAGAUGACAUUUCCAAAGAGUCGUGUUGCUUGAUAGUGCAGCACUAAGUGGGUGGUAAACUCCAUCUAAAACUAAAUAUAACCAUGAGACCGAUAGUAAACAAGUACCGUGAGGGAAAGUUGAAAAGAACUCUGAAUAGAGAGUUAAAUAGUACGUGAAACUGCUUAGAGGUUAAGCCCGAUGAACCUGAAUAUCCAUUAUGGAAAAUUCAUCAUUAUGACUUUAAUAUUUAUAAUAUUAAAAUAAUGGUGUGCAUUUUUUCCAUAUAAGGACAUUGUAAUCUAUUAAUAAACAGAUUUAUUAUAAGAUCAUUGCUUUAGUUUAUUCAAAUUAUUUUGCUUGCAAUUUAACAUAGAAUAAAUGCUUUUGAUUUGAUAAAGUGUUGAUAGAUUUAUUAUAUAUAGUGCUUGAAUAAUUCUAUUCUAUAAUAGCGUAUUGAUCAAUGAUUUUUAUGUUCAUUAUAUGCACUUAUAUGAUUAACAAUGCGAAAGAUUCAGGAUACCUUCGGGACCCGUCUUGAAACACGGACCAAGGAGUCUAACAUAUUUGCAAGUUAUUGGGAAUUAAAAACCUAAUAGCGAAAUUAACAUAACUUAUAUAAUGGGAUUAGUUUUUAGGUCUAUUUUUAUAGUCUAUUAAUUCAAUCCCGGGGCGUUCUAUACAGUAUGA